RNAcentral lists this non-coding RNA (30 nucleotides) under Rattus norvegicus (Norway rat). The record is from RNAcentral. Lineage: Eukaryota; Metazoa; Chordata; Mammalia; Rodentia; Muridae.
UCAUUCUGUACACCAGGCUGGCCUUGAACA